RNAcentral lists this ribosomal RNA (449 nucleotides) under uncultured bacterium. Its description in RNAcentral is "partial 16S ribosomal RNA". It matches the Rfam family "Bacterial small subunit ribosomal RNA", at positions 338 to 795 of the family's 1533-position model. The record is from RNAcentral.
CCUACGGGUGGCUGCAGUAAGGAAUAUUGGUCAAUGGACGCAAGUCUGAACCAGCCAUGCCGCGUGGAGGAUGAAGGUCCUCUGGAUUGUAAACUUCUUUUAUUUGGGAAGAAACUCCCGAUUUCCAUCGGGAUUGACGGUCCCAGAUGAAUAAGCACCGGCUAACUCCGUGCCAGCAGCCGCGGUACUACGGCGGGUGCAAGCGUUAUCCGGAUUCACUGGGCUUAGGGGGGCAGGUAAUGGAGUGGUAAAAUCUCCGGGCUUAACCCGGAAACUGCCAUUGAUACUAUUUGUCUUGAAUACUCUGGAGGUGAGCGGAAUAUGUCAUGUAGCGGUGAAAUGCUUAGAUAUGACAUAGAACACCCAUUGCGAAGGCAGCUCACUACGGAAAUAUUGACGCUGAGGCACGAAAGCGUGGGGAUCAAACAGGAUUAGAUACCCCAGUAGUC